AAUAGAUACCCUGGUAGUCCACGCCGUAAACGUUGGGCGCUAGAUGUGGGGACCAUUCCACGGUUUCCGUGUCGCAGCUAACGCAUUAAGCGCCCCGCCUGGGGAGUACGGCCGCAAGGCUAAAACUCAAAGGGAAUUGACGGGGGCCCGCACAAGCGGCGGAGCAUGCGGAUUAAUUCGAUGCAACGCGAAGAACCUUACCAAGGCUUGACAUAUACGAGAACGCUCUAGAAAUAGAGAACUCUUUGGACACUCGUAUACAGGUGGUGCAUGGUUGUCGUCAGCUCGUGUCGUGAGAUGUUGGGUUAAGUCCCGCAACGAGCGCAACCCUCGUUCUAUGUUGCCAGCGGUUCGGCCGGGAACUCAUAGGAGACUGGCCGGGGUCAACUCGGAGGAAGGUGGGGAUGACGUCAAAUCAUCAUGCCCCUUAUGUCUUGGGCUUCACGCAUGCUACAAUGGCCGGUACAAAGGGCUGCAAUACCGCAAGGUGGAGCGAAUCCCAAAAAGCCGGUCUCAGUUGGAUUGAGGUCUGC
Molecule: ribosomal RNA, 533 nt
Filed under: uncultured bacterium
Lineage: Bacteria
Description: bacterial SSU rRNA
Rfam family: Bacterial small subunit ribosomal RNA
Source: RNAcentral